This 484-nucleotide ribosomal RNA is filed under the name uncultured bacterium. RNAcentral describes it as "partial 16S ribosomal RNA". It matches the Rfam family "Bacterial small subunit ribosomal RNA", at positions 30 to 507 of the family's 1533-position model. The record is from RNAcentral.
AUUGAACGCUGGCGGCAGGCCUAACACAUGCAAGUCGAGCGGAUGAGAGGAGCUUGCUCCUUGAUUUAGCGGCGGACGGGUGAGUAAUGCCUAGGAAUCUGCCUGGUAGUGGGGGAUAACGUUCCGAAAGGAACGCUAAUACCGCAUACGUCCUACGGGAGAAAGCAGGGGACCUUCGGGCCUUGCGCUAUCAGAUGAGCCUAGGUCGGAUUAGCUAGUUGGUGAGGUAAUGGCUCACCAAGGCGACGAUCCGUAACUGGUCUGAGAGGAUGAUCAGUCACACUGGAACUGAGACACGGUCCAGACUCCUACGGGAGGCAGCAGUGGGGAAUAUUAGACAAUGGGCGAAAGCCUGAUCCAGCCAUGCCGCGUGUGUGAAGAAGGUCUUCGGAUUGUAAAGCACUUUAAGUUGGGAGGAAGGGCAGUAAGCUAAUACCUUGCUGUUUUGACGUUACCGACAGAAUAAGCACCGGCUAACUUCGUG